AUUGAACGCUGGCGGCAGGCCUAACACAUGCAAGUAGAACGAGUGGCGGACGGGUGAGUAAUGUCUGGGACAGUUCCUGAUGGAGGGGGUUCCCUUCUGGAAACGUUAACCAAUCACGCAUAACAUCAGAUGUGCCCAGAUGGGAUUAGCUAGUGGUUGGGGUAACGGCCCACGAAGGCGACGAUCCCUAGCUGGUAUGAGAGGAUGACGAGCCACACUGGAACUGAGACACGGUCCAGACUCCGACGGGAGGCAGCAGUGGGGAAUAUUGCACAAUGGGCGCAAGCCUGAUGCAGCCAUGCCGCGUGUGUGAAGAAGGCCUUCGGGUUGUAAAGUACUUUCAGCGGGGAGGCGUUACCCGCAGAAUAAGCACCGGCUAACUCCGUGCCAGCAGCCGCGGUAAUUC
RNAcentral lists this ribosomal RNA (406 nucleotides) under uncultured bacterium. RNAcentral describes it as "partial 16S ribosomal RNA". It matches the Rfam family "Bacterial small subunit ribosomal RNA", at positions 30 to 526 of the family's 1533-position model. The record is from RNAcentral.